Dicentrarchus labrax (European seabass) is the source of this 2967-nucleotide long non-coding RNA. NCBI's taxonomy places the organism in Eukaryota, Metazoa, Chordata, Actinopteri, Moronidae. The record is from Ensembl.
AUCAUUAUCUGACUGAUGCAAUGUUCACAUUCACCUAGCACAAACACAUGAACAGGGAGAAGAUGAUCUGGAUCCUUCUGCUCGUCGGCCUGACCUCCUCUGUCUGUGGUUAGUAGGACUGAAACCAACAAUUCAUUUCAUUAACGAUUAAUCUGCUGAUUAUUUCUUCCAUUAAUCCAAUCAAACUGUUUAUGAAUGUAAAGAAAGUUGUGAAAAAUCUCCCAUAAAGACUUCCAGAGGCCAAAGUGACGUCCUUAAACUGCUUGUUUAGUUCAACCAACAAUUAAAAACCAAACAUUAUUUCAUUCACUGUCAUAUAUUACAAAGACAAACAGCAAACCUGCCCAUAUGAGAAGCUGGAAGCAGCAAAUAUUUGGUUUUGUUUCACUAAAAAUGACAAUUAAUGUAAUAUAAUUUCUUGGAAUGAAUUAAAUGGAUGAAUCACACACUAGUAGCUCUAGUGGUUAGUUUAUGUGUAAGUCUCAGUACAUCUGACAGAAAUGAGGUGAAGAUCGAUGUCUGACUCUACAUAACGUCUCUAUUGUGCCUCUCUUUGCCCUUUCUCUCGUCGACAGGGAUGUUUGUCUUGAAAAAGACUCCGACCUUCUAUCAGGCAGAGGAGGACGAUAACAUCACCAUCGGAUGGGACAGUCCCAUCAUGUCCCUCACCAUUCUGCGUUGUUUCUUCCAGUCAGAGCCUCUGAAGCUUUUCUAUGAAAUGGUUGACGGUGUGGAGUCCUCAGAGUCUCAGCAUCAGCAGUUUGCAGGACGGGUGCAGUGUGACAAAGACGUCCUCAGAGGAGGACGAGUCAGACUUCAUAUGUCCAGAGUCAGGACUGAUGACUCUGGACGUUACUGGUGUGAUCUGGCUGCUAAUUAUGACAAGAUCAGGAGAAGAUGGGGGCUAGAGACCACUGAACAUUUUGUACUGAAUGUGGCCCAGACCAAUGAUGGAGAGAGCAGUGAUGUGUCUCUCAACUCAUCAAAGUCUCAAGUGGCAGCAACUAAAGGUCAACAUGGUGCAGGACAGCCACCAGGAAGCCCAAAACAUGAAGUCAUAGCUCCACUAUUAAUAGUAGCUUUGGUUUUUGUUGCUGUAAUCUUGGCAACUUGGACAUUUCUGACAGCAUGUGCUUGUGAAGACCGAGGACAACAACCUCAAGACCAGGAUGGACGUUACAUCGUGCUCCCGAUUGAGAUAGUCCCCAUCCUGACCCACUCCAGAUGUGAGUGGACAUUUGGCAGCAUUGACACUGAGCUUAUUUUGGGAUCCUAUUUCACUUUUUACAGUCUGGGUUCAAACUGCUAGAAUGAAGCACUAAAAUGAAGGUAAAGUUACAGUUAAUUAUCCUCUUCCCUGUCCAUGGAUGCUUGGAUUCAUCCUCACAGUAACAGCUUUAUAACAAGUGGGUUUCUAGCUACCAGAGACAAAUAUGUAUAUAGUGAGUUUGUCUUCUUUUUGAUGUAAGUGUUUUUCUACGUCUCACUGACCCGACUUGAUACAACUUGCAGAGACUUGAACAAGUCUCACACUGGACUGCUCCCAAAUAGGUUUCAUUAGACUGGAAAGGCAACGUCGUCACAAGCUAACAUGAUGAAUAGCAAUGUAUAUGUGGACACCAAAUGGAUUACAUUGUGCUGAUGCCAUUAUGCAAACAAAUUAUGACUCGCUACAUAGUCAAGAUAAAAUGCAUUACCAGUGCCUAAAAUAAUCACAAAAAACUGUAUCUAUAAUCUGAGGAAACAUCAAAAAAUAUCUAAAAAGCAAUGAUUUCUAUAAUAAUGUGAUCUGGUUGCUUUUAUAUAUUUAUAUAUGGAAAUGUGUCCUUUUUCAUUACUAUGCAACAAUGAUACAGACUCAGUGUGAGUAUUUCAAAAAUACUUGUUUGUGAUGUCCAUAUGUCAGUUUGCUGUGUUGCUGCUGGCUAAAGAGGACAUGGAGAGUUAAAUCCAACAUCUUUGAUGGUUACUCAGUAAAAAAGAACAGAAUAUUAUUUAUAUGUAUUAAAAAACACUCAAAAGUAGGAGGUCCUCUAAUGGAGCUACAGGCUAUGUACAGUAUUCAGAUCAAUGUCUGGAAGAAAUAAUGAUGGAUAUAUAUUGUGAAAUACAAAUUCAUUUGAUCAGGUCUGAUAUCAUUUCAGCGUUACCAUUUAGUUUUAAACUGUUUAUAUAGUUUAUAAGGACAAGAAACCAGAUGUGACAUUAUUAGUGCUAACGAGGGAUGUGGAAGGUUAGGUAGUUACUGGAUCGUUAUAAUGACAGUAGAGAUGUAAGGUAGUUUGGAAGCUUUAGAACAGUAGAGCUUUAUAAAUGAAUAACAUGGGAUGGAUAUUUCUAGUUGACAGUAAGUCCAUCCAACUCUUUGAUACAGAGAACAGUGAUGGGUGCAAGAUUAGUCAUUAGUGAUAAAGAGUAAUGCACUGUGAUACACAGGGUUUAACUGCUGAACUGCUGUUAUUGAUGUACAAAAUAAACAGCAAAGACCCAAGAAGAGACUCCUGUGGCAUCCCAUUUCUUUAAAAAACAUUUUUUGAAUGCAUUAUCAUCUGAGGUGGGACACCUAAACUCCUGUGUGUCUAUUUCCUGUUCUAACUAAAUCCAGUCAGCAGGACUGGAGCCAAGGACACUUUUCAGUGUUUUAGGAUUCUGACCAGAUUAAUGUUGAGGAUAUAAAUCUGUCAUAAAUGAAAGACAAUGUUAUAACAUUAUAUUGAGGAACUAAAUAUGCAUUCAAGUGAUGAAAAUGUGUUUUUGGUAUUUCUGUUCCUUGCCCCACUUUAUGAAAUAUGAUUGAGAAUGUGUGCUGCAUGCUCUGGUCAAUCUGGAAUAGUCAUUCAGGUUCUUGGAGGAAAUAUGCAUUUAAGGACUUUCUGAAGUUGCAUACAUUACACACAUGGUUGUUCAUCAUGUACAAAUAUGACAUGCUUGACCAUGUCUUUACCAACAUGGCCACACACGUCCUCC